Molecule: ribosomal RNA, 202 nt
Filed under: Mopalia porifera
Lineage: Eukaryota; Metazoa; Mollusca; Polyplacophora; Chitonida; Mopaliidae
Description: partial 28S ribosomal RNA
Rfam family: Eukaryotic large subunit ribosomal RNA
Source: RNAcentral
CCGUCUUGAAACACGGACCAAGGAGUCUAACAUGUGCGCGAGUCAUUGGGUCUGACUAAACCUAAAGGCGCAAUGAAAGUGAAGGCAGCCUCGGGUUUGCCUAGGUAGGAUCCUCUUCCGAGAAAGAGGAGGCGCACUACCGGCCCGUCUCGUCCGCAUUGCGGUGAGGCGGAGCGAGAGCGUACACGUUGGGACCCGAAAG